ACACGUGGGAAACCUGCCCAGGAGCGGGGGAUAACACCUGGAAACAGAUGCUAAUACCGCAUAACAACUUGGACCGCAUGGUCCGAGCUUGAAAGAUGGCUUCGGCUAUCACUUUUGGAUGGUCCCGCGGCGUAUUAGCUAGAUGGUGGGGUAACGGCUCACCAUGGCAAUGAUACGUAGCCGACCUGAGAGGGUAAUCGGCCACAUUGGGACUGUGACACGGCCCAAACUCCUACGGGAGGCAGCAGUAGGGAAUCUUCCACAAUGGACGAAAGUCUGAUGGAGCAACGCCGCGUGAGUGAAGAAGGGUUUCGGCUCGUAAAACUCUGUUGUUAAAGAAGAACAUAUCUGAGAGUAACUGUUCAGGUAUUGACGGUAUUUAACCAGAAAGCCACGGCUAACUACGUGCCAGCAGCCGCGGUAAUACGUAGGUGGCAAGCGUUGUCCGGAUUUAUUGGGCGUAAAGCGAGCGCAGGCGGUUUUUUAAGUCUGAUGUGAAAGCCUUUCGGCUCAACCGAAGAAGUGCAUCGGAAACUGGGAAACUUGAGUGCAGAAGAGGACAGGUGGAACUCCAUGUGUAGCGGUGAAAUGCGUAGAUAUAUGGAAGAACACCAGUGGCGAAGGCGGCUGUCUGGUCUGUAACUGACGCUGAGGCUCGAAAGUAUGGGUAGCAAACAGGAUUAGAUACCCUGGUAGUCCAUACCGUAAACGAUGAAUGCUAAGUGUUGGAGGGUUUCCGCCCCUUCAGUGCUGCAGCUAACGCAUUAAGCAUUCCGCCUGGGGGAGUACGGCCGCAAGGCUGAAACUCAAAAGGAAUUGACGGGGGCCCGCACAAGCGGUGGAGCAUGUGGUUUAAUUCGAAGCUACGCGAAGAACCUUACCAGGUCUUGACAUACUAUGCAAAUCUAAGAGAUUAGACGUUCCCUUCGGGGACAUGGAUACAGGUGGUGCAUGGUUGUCGUCAGCUCGUGUCGUGAGAUGUUGGGUUAAGUCCCGCAACGAGCGCAACCCUUAUUAUCAGUUGCCAGCAUUAAGUUGGGCACUCUGGUGAGACUGCCGGUGACAAACCGGAGGAAGGUGGGGAUGACGUCAAAUCAUCAUGCCCCUUAUGACCUGGGCUACACACGUGCUACAAUGGAUGGUACAACGAGUUGCGAACUCGCGAGAGUAAGCUAAUCUCUUAAAGCCAUUCUCAGUUCGGAUUGUAGGCUGCAACUCGCCUACAUGAAGUCGGAAUCGCUAGUAAUCGCGGAUCAGCAUGCCGCGGUGAAUACGUUCCCGGGCCUUGUACACACCGCCCGUCACACCA
Molecule: ribosomal RNA, 1309 nt
Filed under: Lactiplantibacillus plantarum
Lineage: Bacteria; Bacillati; Bacillota; Bacilli; Lactobacillales; Lactobacillaceae
Description: bacterial SSU rRNA
Rfam family: Bacterial small subunit ribosomal RNA
Source: RNAcentral